UACCUGGUUGAUCCUUCCAGUAGUCAUAUGCUUGUCUCAAAGAAUAGGCCAUGCCUGAGUAAGUAUGAAUAAAUUUAGACUGUGAAACUCCGAAUGGCUCAUUAUAGAGCUAAUACAUGCAACAAAACCUGACUUUUAGAAGGGAUGUAUUUAUUAGUUAAAUGGUUGAUGCGGGCUUUGCUUGUUACUGCAGUAAUUUAUGAUAACUCGAUGGAUCGCACGACCAUCAUACCGAUGAUGUAUCAUUCAAAUUUCUGUCCUAUCAACUUUCGAUAAUAGGAUACUGGCCUAUCAUGUUGGUAAUGCGUGAUGGAGAGUUAAGGUUCAAUUCUAGAGAUAGAGCCAGAGAAACAGCUACCACAUCCAAGGAAGGCAGCAGGCGCACAAAUUACCUAAUCCUGACACAGGGAGGUAGUGACAACAAAAUAACAAUGCCGGGCUCAAUAAGUUUGGUAAUUAGAAUGAGUACAAUCUAAAUCCCCUAACGAGGAUACAUUGGAGGACAAGUCUGGUGCCAGUAGCUGUGGUAAUUCAACAUGCAAUAGCAUUUAUUUAAGUUGUUGAAAUUAAAAAGCUUAUAGUUGUAAUUUUGAUGGGCCGAAAGGUCCACCUAUGGUUUGUACCAAUCAUCUCGUCCCUUCUGUCGGCGAUAUGCACCUGGACCUAACUCUACGGGUCAUGCCUCUGGCUCUUUUAUUUGAAGAAAUUAGAGUUCUCAAAGCAAGCGUACACUCUGUAUGCAUUAGCAUGGAUAAUAUUAUAGGAUUUUUGUCCUAUUAUAUUGGCUUUCGAGAUCGAAGUCAUGAUUAAUAGGGACAAUUGAGGGCAUUCAUAUUUCAUAGUCAAAGGUGAAAUUCUUGGAUUUAUGAACGAUGAAGAACUGCGAAAGCAUUUGCCAAGGAUAUUUUCAUUAAUCCGUAAUGAAAGUUUGGGGCUGAAAGACGAUCAGAUACCACCCUAGUCUCCACCAUAAAUGUUGUCGACCAAGGAUCGAUGGAAGUUUCUUUUAGGACUCUACCGACACCUUAUGAGCAAUCAAAUUUUUUGGGUUUUGGGGAGAAUAUGGUCGUAAGGGUGAAACUUUAAGGAAUUGAUGGAAGGGUACCACCAGGAGUGAAGCCUGCCGCUUAAUUUGACUCAACAAGGGGAAACUUACUAGGUCCAGAACUAGUAUAGAUUGACAAUAUGAGAGCUCUUUCUUGAUUCUAUGGGUGGUGGUGAAUGGCCAUUCUUAGUUGGUGGAGCAAUUUGUCAGGUGAUUUCUAUUAACGAAUAUGACCUCAGACUGCUAACUAGAUAUGUGGAGGUAUCCCCUCGUGGCCAGCUUCUUAGAGGGACUAUGACCUCUUAUGUCAUAGAUGUUUGAGUCAAUAAUAGGUAUUUGAUGCCCUUAUAUAUUAUGGGCAACACACGUUGUACAAUAAUGUAUUCAAUGAGUUUAUAGACUUAGCCGAGAGGCUCGGGUAAACUAUGAAAUUUCAUCAUGAUGUGGAUAGAUUAUUGUAAUUAUUGGUCAUUAACUGGCCGAGUUGUGCCUCUGAUGCUAUUAUUGGCCUUAUAUGACCGGGUUGUGCCUUCUUUUAGAUCGUUUUGACUAUCUUUCCACCCUUUGUACACAUCGCCCAUCACUCCUACCAAUUGAAUGAUCAAGUAAAAUGUCUAGAUCACGGCAAGGAGGGCAGUUCGCUGCUCGCGACAUUGGUAUGAGUCCAUUGUAGCUUAUCAUUUAGACGAAUGAUAAGUCGUAAAAAGGAUACCAUAGGUGAACCUGUGGAAGGCUCAUUG
This is a non-coding RNA of Capsicum annuum, 1785 nucleotides long. Lineage: Eukaryota; Viridiplantae; Streptophyta; Magnoliopsida; Solanales; Solanaceae. The record is from Rfam.